AAACCAUUACACCCGUCGCACUUUAAAAAAAAAAAUAAAAAUAAGUGCAAAAAAUAAUAAUCCAUGUUCGCCCUUCGAGGGCACGCCGCAUACUGAGCUCCGCAGGGCGGGUCAAGGCUUUAUAAGCCUUGACCCGCCCUGCGGAGCUCAGUAUGCGGCGUGCCCUCGAAGGGCGAACAUGGAUUAUUUUUUUUUGCGCUCGUUUUUUUUUUAAAGUGCGACGGGUGUAAUGGAUUUUUAUUUGGCCUUUUUGGGGGCUGAAGAAAGAAGAUUUUAGAAAAAAGAAGAUGUCAAAUGGUAAGUUU
This is a non-coding RNA of Pelobates cultripes (western spadefoot toad), 305 nucleotides long. NCBI's taxonomy places the organism in Eukaryota, Metazoa, Chordata, Amphibia, Anura, Pelobatidae. The record is from the annotation of a GenBank genome assembly.